AUUAAGUUUUAUUUAAUAUAGGAUCUGCUCAAUGAUUUAUUAAAUAGCUGCAGUAUUUUGACUGUGCAAAGGUAGCAUAAUAAUUAGUCUUUUAAUUGAGGACUUGUAUGAAAGAUUUGAUGAGAAAUAAACUUUAUUAUUUAUAUAAUUAAAAUUUUAUUUUUAAGUAAAAAAGCUUAAAUUAUUUAAAGGGACGAUAAGACCCUAUAAAACUUUAUAAAUAUUAAUUUUGAUUUUUUUUGGAUUUAUAAAUAUUUUAAUUUUAUUAUUUAUUUUAUUGGGGUGAUAAAAAAAAUUAUUAAACUUUUUUUAAAAUUUUACAUAAUUUAAUGGAUAUUUGAAUUAAAAUUUUUAGUUAAAGGAAAAAGUUACUUUAGGGAUAACAGCGUAAUUAAUUUUUUAAGUCCAAAUUUAAAAAUUAGUUUGCGACCUCGAUGUUGAAUUAAGAUUAAUCUUAGGUGCAAAAUUUUAAGUAUUAGGUCUGUUCGACCUUUAAAUUCUUACGUGA
RNAcentral lists this ribosomal RNA (508 nucleotides) under Macrosiphoniella hokkaidensis. RNAcentral describes it as "partial 16S ribosomal RNA". Lineage: Eukaryota; Metazoa; Arthropoda; Insecta; Hemiptera; Aphididae. The record is from RNAcentral.